UACGUCAACAUCCUUAACGAAUUUAACCCAUUCUAACCUAUUGACCAUCGACUUUGAUAACCGUAAGCACGCUUUCGGCACCAGAGCAACGAUCAGAGAUCAGACAGGUAGCCCCGAAGGGUAUCCGUUGCAAUCCUCAAUCCCGAUCAUCACAUCUGCCGAAGGCUAUGACACUUCAAUCGAAAUCGAAGCUACAUUCCUCCAGCCAUUUUAUGAUAAUCAAAAUUGAUGUUAACUAACCACACAGGCAAGUACACCCAAAGUACACGAAUAUGCAGGCAUGAAGGCGUUUAACUCCUCACACUCCCAGAAUCAUGCCCAAAAGGCUGAUUACCCGCAGGUACGACUGGCUUCAAUCGUUUCCCUUUCAACAAUUUCACGUACUGUUUAACUCUCUUUUCAAAGUUCUUUUCAUCUUUCCCUCACGGUACUUGUUCGCUACCGGUCUCUCGCCGUUAUUUAGCCUUAGGAGAAAUUUACCUCCCAUUUUAAGCUGCAAUCCCAAACAACUUGACUCUUUGAAAGCGUAUCGUAAAGCGAAUCUGAUCAACCGAACGGGAUUCUCACCCUCCGUGAUGCCUUAUCCCAAAGGACUUGGACUGAUCAGAAACACAGAAAACGCCUCUUCAAAUUACAACUCGGUCAGGUAGAACCCGACAGAUUUAAAAUUUGAGCUUGUCCCUCUCCACUCGCAGUUACUAGGGGAAUCAUUGCUAUUUUCUUUUCCUCCGCUUAUUGAUAUCG
RNAcentral lists this ribosomal RNA (744 nucleotides) under uncultured Glomus. Its description in RNAcentral is "partial 28S ribosomal RNA". The record is from RNAcentral. Lineage: Eukaryota; Fungi; Glomeromycota; Glomeromycetes; Glomerales; Glomeraceae.